RNAcentral lists this long non-coding RNA (3544 nucleotides) under Homo sapiens (human). RNAcentral describes it as "HSALNT0232030". Lineage: Eukaryota; Metazoa; Chordata; Mammalia; Primates; Hominidae. The record is from RNAcentral.
CCCCUGCUGGGGGGUGCCUUCCAGUUAGGCUGCUCGGGGGUCGGGGGUCAGGGGUCAGGGACCCACUUGAGGAGGCAGUCUGCCCUUUCUCAGAUCUCCAGCUGCGUGCUGGGAGAACCACUGCUCUCUUCAAAGCUGUCAGACAGGGACAUUUAAGUCUGCAGAGGUUACUGCUGUCUUUUUGUUUGUCUGUGCCCUGCCCCCAGAGGUGGAGCCUACAGAGGCAGGCAGGCCUCCUUGAGCUGUGGUGGGCUCCACCCAGUUCGAGCUUCCCAGCUGCUUUGUUUACCUAAUCAAGCCUGGGCAAUGGCGGGCGCCCCUCCCCCAGCCUCGCUGCCGCCUUGCAGUUUGAUCUCAGACUGCUGUGCUAGCAACCAGCGAGACUCCGUGGGCGUAGGACCCUCCACGCCAGGUGCCGGAUAUAAUCUCGGGGAUAUAAUCUCCCGUUUUUUAAGCCGGUCCGAAAAGCACAAUAUUCAGGUGGGAGUGACCCGAUUUUCCAGGUGGACAUUUGUGUUGAUUUCAUAUCUUUGCUAUUGUGAAUACUACUGCAAUUAACAUGCAAGUGCAACCAAUCAAGCUGAUGUCUUCAAUUUAUUCAUGUAUUCAUUCAUUAUUCAUUGAUAUAUAGCCAAUCAAGCAAGCAAGCAAACAAAAAUAUAUGAGUGCCUAUCAUGGACCAAAAUUUUGCUGGCUAAAGACUGAAGAAAUAGAAGAUAAAGUUUAAAUACAGUUCAUUUGUCUUCUUUAUAGACUCACUUUUUGCAGCAGACAAUGUGCUAUGUCUGAAACAGUAAAUUCCAGGGACCUUAGAAGAAAAUAACUGCACCUAACUCAAUUCUAAGUAAUGAGAAACUCUUUGUGUAAUCUGAGGUGAGCAUGAGGAUGCAAGGAGUCAGUCAAGCCAAAGAAAGACAAGAUUGAAUGCUGGAUAUGAAGAAAGCAAGGAGAACCAGGUAAGAGGGAGAGUUGAGAAGAAAAAUGUGUUUACCUUUAUUUGUCACACGGGAAUCAAAAUGCUGGCCUGGGACUCUCAAAUAUGUUAUCAAAUAUGAUCUACCAAAUGGUGUUCCAAGCUAAAGUGAUGUUGGCUUUCACAGUACAUUGGAAGAAAUUGGGGAGUGAAGUAUACAAACACAUUCCUAAACUCCUAAAUGUUAAAUAAAAGCUAUAAGAUUAAAAAAAUAUAAUUCCACAAUGCAGACUUCUUUUCAUCCUAUUAUAUCAUCCUUUUCUCUAUUUUACCUUGAUUUUCCUGCAGGGGAAGGGGUCUUCCAGGCAAGGAAAGUAUCAUUCUCCCCACAAACUAUACACUUGGGUGACCCCAAGGAGUAGUACAAUGAUUAUAUGCGGCGGUAGCUAAAUUAAAGGGUACAGAAUGAUAACCAUGAAAGAGAAAGGAGAAAAUAAAUUCUAAGAUUCUGAUAGAGAAAUAAAAACAGGAGCAGUUGAGGUCACUGUAGAAAUAAUUUUUUUUUUGUAUUGUAGCUUUUGUAAAAAUUAAAUAUAUUGCAGAUGAUAAUAAUGGUCCCAAUUCUUCAACACUUCGUGGUUCUAUCCCCUUUGCCAUCUACUUUGUAGUGCCUUUCCUUUCUGAGUCUGAGUUCAGCCAUGUUUGCUUUGGGCCAAGUGAAUCUUAACAGGCAUCACACAAAAGGAGGGUUAGAAGGGCUCUUGGGCUUCUUCACUCUUUCCCUCUCUAUUGCCAUGUGAAGGACAUACCUGGGCUAAGCCAGUGGCCCCAGGAGGAGGAAGAGAGACACACAGAGGUGAGUCACUCCAACCAUUCUAAUCAAGGCCAUUCUAAUCAGCUGACAGCUAGCCAAACUCCAGAUAUCUGAGUACACCAAGUGAGAAACAGAGAAGCUGCCUACAGGACCAUCCCUGAUAUCUGAGCAUAACUGCUUAUUAUUCUACUGAGAUUUUGUGUUGUCUAUCACACAACUUUAUUAUUUCAGUCGAUAUUUAAUACAAAGUAAAUGAAAAUGGCCAGGCACAGUGGCUCACUCAUGUAAUCCCAGCACUUUGGGAGGCCAAGGCGGGUGCAUCUCCUGAGGUCAGGAGUUCCAGACCAGCCUGGCCAACAUGGCAAAACCCCGUCUCCACUAAAAAUACAAAAAUUAGCCUGGCAUGGUGGCACGGGCAUGUAAUCCCAGCCACCCGGGAGGCUGAGGCAGGAGAAUCGCUUGAACACAGGAGGCAGAGGUUGCCGUCAGCACUGCACUCCAGCCCGGGCUUCAGAGCAAGACUCCAUCUCAAAAACAAACACCAACAAAAGUAAAUGAUAAACAUUAACCUUUAUUAAUAACAAUUGUUAAUAUGGUAGUCGGUUUUGUUUGCUGUAUUUUUGUUUCUCUCUCUCUCUCUCUCCCCCUUGUUUGUUUCUAGGAAAUUCCAGGAUUGUGAAAGAACGCACUAUGGCAUUUGAUAUAGAGAUACCCAUAGCUCUUAUAUCGUUACUGAGAAUUUUGGCCUUCAAGUUCAGUCUGAGCCUAUCAUUGCGGACAGAGUGAUGAGAAUACCCUGCUCCAAGCUGUUCAGAAUGUGAGAAAUUCCUAGAGAUUAAAUUAAAAAGCGGCUACAUGGCCUGAUUACCAAAAGUCUAAAAUAUAUGAAGUUAAACUGAUGAAAGCUGUGAGCAGAGCCUAGCCAGGGCCUAAGAUACGGAGUGCGAAUUAUGGACAUGACGAUGAAGAAAUAUUUAAGAUUCCUUAUACAGCUAGUAAGUGUAAGAGGAAAGAUUCAGUCAUGCUAGAGUCCAGAAUUCAUGUGAAGUGUUCAGGAAAGGGACACUUAUAACAAUCAUCUGGAGAGGUGUGCAUGGCACGGACCUGAGCUUUCCUGCCAAAGCCAUCAGACUGCGCCAUCUUGGAACUUGAUUCUCUAGCCCCAGUCAAGCUUCCAGAUGAGUGCAGCCCUGGCUGAUGUCUUCAUAUCGAUCUCCUGAGACACUGUGGGCUAGAUCACUCAGAUAAGCCACUCUUGAAACACUGUACCACAGAAACUGUGAAAUAAUCAAUGUGUGCUGUUUUAUAGUUUUAGUUUUGAGGCAGUUUGCUCCCCAGUAACAGAUAAGUAAUAGAGCAAAUAUCUCAUCAAUCAUGCUUCUUAGAAUCAGAAUCCAUAGAAGAGGAAACUGACAUAAAUCACUUGUUUUUAAAUUAUCUCACAAUAUUUUUUUUAUUUGUUUGUUUUGUUUGUUUGCCUCAGCCCCAAUAUCACUAGGCCUUAAAUGAUGCUUAAUUCACUAAAUUGUAACUUUUAGAUUUAUCAGCUUUCAGGGUUCAUUAAAACUGUUCUGUUCUGGAACAUAUCAGAGUCCUUUUCCUCUUGACAGAGAUUUUAUUUUCCACAUUCUGAUUGAGAUCCCGAGAGAAUAGGAAGAAAAUGUGUAUAUUCUGAUGGAAAGUAAAAGCUGUCAUUUCAUAAAUUAUACUUCUGAUUCUGAAAGAAAGAAAUAUAUCUUCCUUUUCCUGCUCUCUUAAAGGAAAUUGUGUGUCCAUUGAUUGUCUCUGCUUCAUCACAUGCAAGUUCUAUGACCAGU